GAAAAGCACUCUGAAGAGAGAGUCAAAGACCGUGAAACUGCUCAGAGUAUAAGCCAAUGGAGCCCGGAAGGCUUGCGUCUCAACGCACUCACUCGUUGCGCAAGCGGCGUUGUGGGUUGCGUAGCUGUUGUGUCGGCAAAACGGUUCAUGGAAACGCGAAAGCGUUGUCGUUUCGUGGAGGCUGGUUGUGCUUUGGUUUCGGCCGGGUGCGCCACGCCUCCAUCUGAUCGGAUGUUCGAAAGCUGACCUGGCUGCGGCGUUAAAGCCCACCACAGUACGUUGUAAGGUCACCCACAGGCUCAACUGUCGAUCGCGUGUUCGUGCCCACAGUCACUGAUAAAGACGAUGUAUUCAAUGCAGGCUGCUGGGCCGGCACGGGCGGCGACCGAGUUCUGGUAUGAUCCUUGGCGACGAGCUGAUUUCUGACCUUGACUACGCUCGGGUAUUGCUCACGUAUCGGGCUUUGCCUCAUAUGGCGGGAGUGAGGACCUUGUGUUCACAUCUCUUUGCCAGGGCGGAUUGGUACCUCAUACGGCCUCCGCCGAGCGAACGGUCUUGACUGGUGAUAAGUCCGGCACCAUCGGUCACGUCUCGAAACACGGGCCAAGGAGUAUAGCAUGUGUGCGAGUUUAAGGGUCUCACAAAACCCGAAGGCGAAGUGAAAGCAAGGUUGCGUUGGGUGCGUCCCCUUCACGGGGGGCUUAUCCCAGCAGCCGUGGUGUUCUCUCGAGAGCACCCGGCUUUGGCAGAGCUGAUUCUGUAUCUGUGGUUAAUUCCAAAGUGCAGACGCAAGCUCCGGGCUCACGUAUAUUACUGGUUUUGGCUGUGAUGUGAGCACCGUGAGCAUGCAU
Molecule: ribosomal RNA, 851 nt
Filed under: Urothoe brevicornis
Lineage: Eukaryota; Metazoa; Arthropoda; Malacostraca; Amphipoda; Urothoidae
Description: partial 28S ribosomal RNA
Rfam family: Eukaryotic large subunit ribosomal RNA
Source: RNAcentral